RNAcentral lists this transfer RNA (73 nucleotides) under Poecilia formosa (Amazon molly). It matches the Rfam family "tRNA". From Rfam's summary of the family: Transfer RNA (tRNA) molecules are approximately 80 nucleotides in length. Lineage: Eukaryota; Metazoa; Chordata; Actinopteri; Cyprinodontiformes; Poeciliidae. The record is from Rfam by way of RNAcentral.
GUUCCUGUAGUGUAGUGGUUAUCAUGUUUGCUUUACACUCAAAAGGUCUUUGGUUCAAAACCAGACAGAAACU